AUGUCUCUGGGGUUUCUGUCACCCCGAGUAAGCAGGAGGGCAAAGCUUAGAAGUGAGGCAUUUCCAAGAUUAAUAGCUCUGGGUGGUGCAGGGAGCAACCAUUCUCUACCAAGACAGUUUUCCCUUAAUUUCUAUUACGCUUGUGGUGGCUUCUGUCCCACAUGGCUGAUGUCCAUCUACCCUGUAUGUCUGUCUCCAGCCGGGAUGGCAAAGGACGGGGGAUGGAGCAGCCUCUCUGCCAGCGGCCUUCUUGUCCUGCUCUUCCUGAAGCUCCCGCCUGUGGGAAACGGGAAGGCGGACUUCCAAGUGCUGGGGCCCCAGGACCCCGUGCUGGCUGUGGUGGGCGAGGAAGCAGAGCUGCGCUGCUGGCUGUCUCCCAGGAUCAGCGCGCACAGCAUGGAGCUGCGCUGGUUCCGCGAGGAGCUGUCGCCCGCCGUGCAUGUUCGCCGCGCAGGGCGGGAUGAGCCCGAGGAGCAGAUGCGCGAGUAUCGCAAUAGGACGAGCUUCGUGGACCGGGACAUGGCUGGGGGCCAGGCCGCGGUGCGCAUCCACCGGAUCACCAUGUCGGACAACGGCAGCUACCACUGCCUCUUCACGGAAGACAGGGCCCAUGCCAGCACCACCCUGUGGCUGCAAGUGGCAGGGCUGGGCUCCAGGCCCCGAAUCCAAGCGAUCCACACCCAAGACAGAGGUGUCUGGGCAGAGUGUGCUUCUGAGGGCUGGUACCCAGAGCCCUGGGUAGAGUGGAGAGACCACAGAGGACAGACAGUGCGUGCUGAGACUAACUUCUCAGUCUCGCCCACCACUGGCCUCUUGGCUGUGGUGUCCAGGGUGGCCCUCCAGGGUGGGGCUGUGGAGGCCCUGUCUUGCUCCAUCUCCAACUCCCUCCUCCCUGGGAGGAAGGUAGCUGAGAGCCAUCUGCCUGCACACCUCUCCAGAGGGUCUCAGUUCACAAAAUGGAGACUAGCCCUGCCUCUCGCCCUCCUUGCCAUGGGACUCGUGAUGGCCGGAGUCAUCUGCCUCUUUGGGAAAUGUCAAAGGAAUGCACAUAGGACACAACUGAGGCAAGAGACAGAGAGAAGAGGACAGGAGCAGAGCCAGCAAUCCAGCAUGGCGGUGGCAGCGCCACUCCAUGUGAGCCCAUAACUGGACCCCGACACCGCGAGUCCCAAACUCAUUGUGUCUGAGGAUCAGAAAAGUGUGCGGCAGCUGCUCUUCGACCAAGACCUGCCCCCUAGCACCAAGAGAUUCAAGCAGGACCUCUGUGUCCUGGCCCAACAGCGGUUCUGGGCUGGGAGGUAUUACUGGGAGGUCGAGGUCAGAGACCGGAAGGCUGGACUCUGGGCAUGUGCCAGGAAAGUGUGGGUCGGGAGGGCAGGGUACCCAAGGCCCCCCAGCAUGGCCUCUGGACAGUGGAGCUUUACAAGAAGAGAUUCCGGGCCCUCUCCUACCCCAGCAUGCACCUCUGUCCAUCCCAGCCCCUCCACAGGGUGGGCAUUUUCCUGGACUGGGAUGUGGGGGAGAUCUCCUUCUACAGUGUGGCUGAUGGCUCCCUGGUCUAUGCAUUCUGUGGACUUUUUCUGGCCCCUACAGCCAUUCCUCUGCCUCUGGACUCACGACCCCAGGCCCCUGACUAUUUUCUCAGUGGUCAGAGAGAUGCAGAAAGCCACUGGCUCCCCAACCCAGGCCUCUGACUUUCCUCAGGGAACUUCUAGGAGUCUGUUAGGUAGAUAGCAGUACCUGCCUUCUCCUUGCUCCUGCCUCUGGUGUUGGUUAUUAUAGCCUGUGUAAAAUAUUGCUAACACCUCAGGAGCUGAAUUGUGCCUCUCCUCCCAAAUCCAUAUGCUGAAGUCCUGGCCCUCAGAGCAUUGGAAAGUAGCUGCUUUUGGAGAACUGGCCUUUAAAGAGGUGAUUAAGGUAACACUAGGUCAUUUAGAUGGACCUGGCCCCAUUGGUCUUGUAUCUUCUUAGGAAGAAGAGAUUAACACAUAGGUACCCAGAGUGGAAAGACCCUGAGAGGACACAGAGAGUGACCAUUUGCAAGCCAAGGGGAAAAGCUGCUCUCUUCCUUCUCCUCUCCUUCCUCUUCCUCCUCUUCUUUCCUUCUCCUUCUCCCUUCUGUUCCUCCUCCUCUCCCCUCCUUCCCCUUAUUCUCCUCAUGUCCCUCCUUGUUCCCUUCCUACUACUCCUCUCAGAAACCAUCCAGACACCCAGUCAACCUCAAAUCCUUUUCUCUCCCUUCCAUGCCAUGACAUGCAGAAGAUGCCAUUAUUCCCAGGUUUGCCCUCGGCAUUGGUCAGAGUUCAGUCAGGACAGAAGUCACACCAACUGUUCCAUCGAGAGAACAGAUUAGGCUUGUAAUAGCAUCAGAUCUCUGUCUUCUGCGUGUCUCUGUGCUCUAACUCUCUCUAGCCUUUCCCUUAGGAGGACAGUCGUCACAGGAUUCCAAGCCUAGCCGAAGGCAAGAUGAUCUCAUCUUGAGGUUCAGGCCCUAAUUAUGCCUGCGAAGACCUGUUUUUCAAAGAAGUCCCAUUCACAGAAGUCUGUGGUGUCCCUCCGCGUACCUGACUUCUGUGGCAGCCCAUCACCACAAGCGAGGUUUCCGAGGAGCAGUGGUAUCCAGGGAAAAUGGCCGUGUGCUUAGUGGGGAAGACAGAGGAGUACACGUAAAGAACCCGGGGGUGUUGGUGGCCAGCUGAGCUUUAGGAACUUUUCUGUUAGUGAAAGACAAUGUAUGAUCAGAAGAAGAGUGUUAUUCAUUGUAAGAUUAAAAACUCAUGUUAAAAUAUAAGUUAUUUAUGUCAUUUUUAUUCCUUUCAAUCAAUACUCAUUAUCUAGGCUAUUCUUUUCUGUGGCCAACAAUUUUUGGAGAUAUGAUUUACUUUUAUAAAUAGAAUAAUCUGAAAAUUAAAUUAUUCUCAAAAAGAAUUACAACACAUGGAAAUAUGAAAUCAGCAGUGCUGUAUUUUUUUUUUUUUUUGUACCGGGGAUCGAACUCCGGUCCUUGCGCUUACAUGGCAGGCAGCAAAACCACUGAGCUAAAUCCCCCCUGUGAAGGAAGCUGGGCUGGGCUGGAAAGGACAUCCCCAGGGCUAGCUGCAGUCUUGGGCAUCUUAAUCCACAGCCUCAGUUUCCCAUCAUGAAAACUGGGCCAGCAUCCCUGCUGCCCUAGUGUGUGAGGCAGUGGAAGGGUUAGUGGAAGCAUCAAAGCAUCUGAAGUACCUGGUCCUUGGCCCCAGGGUGAGACUCAGAAGUGGACCACACGGACAGAUUCAGGCUCAGUCAAUCUGU
This is a non-coding RNA of Heterocephalus glaber (naked mole-rat), 3291 nucleotides long. NCBI's taxonomy places the organism in Eukaryota, Metazoa, Chordata, Mammalia, Rodentia, Bathyergidae. The record is from RefSeq and is a predicted model, not a curated record.